AGAGUUUGAUCCUGGCUCAGAUUGAACGCUGGCGGUAUGCUUAACACAUGCAAGUCGAACGGUAACGGUCCUUCGGGAGCCGACGAGUGGCGGACGGGUGUGUAACGCGUAGGAAUCUGCCUGGUAGUGGGGGACAACUCGGAGAAAUCCGAGCUAAUACCGCAUACGCCCUGAGGGGGAAAGCGGGGGAUCUUCGGACCUCGCGCUAUCAGAUGAGCCUGCGUUGGAUUAGCUAGUUGGUGGGGUAAAGGCCUACCAAGGCGACGAUCCAUAGCUGGUCUGAGAGGACGAUCAGCCACACUGGGACUGAGACACGGCCCAGACUCCUACGGGAGGCAGCAGUGGGGAAUAUUGGACAAUGGGCGCAAGCCUGAUCCAGCAAUACCGCGUGUGUGAAGAAGGCCUGAGGGUUGUAAAGCACUUUCAAUAGGGAGGAAAAAGCGUUGGUUAAUAGCCGAUGCCUUGACAUUACCUAUAGAAGAAGCACCGGCUAACUCCGUGCCAGCAGCCGCGGUAAUACGGAGGGUGCGAGCGUUAAUCGGAAUUACUGGGCGUAAAGCGUGCGUAGGCGGUUAUUUAAGUCAGAUGUGAAAGCCCCGGGCUUAACCUGGGAACGGCAUUUGAUACUGGGUAACUUGAGUUUAGGAGAGGAGAGUGGAAUUUCCGGUGUAGCGGUGAAAUGCGUAGAGAUCGGAAGGAACACCAGUGGCGAAGGCGGCUCUCUGGCCUAAAACUGACGCUGAGGUACGAAAGCGUGGGUAGCAAACAGGAUUAGAUACCCUGUAGUCCACGCCGUAAACGAUGUCAACUAGCCGUUGGGGUCUUUAUUAAGACUUAGUGGUGCAGCUAACGCAUUAAGUUGACCGCCCUGGGGGGGUACGGGC
This 884-nucleotide ribosomal RNA is filed under the name uncultured bacterium. RNAcentral describes it as "bacterial SSU rRNA". It matches the Rfam family "Bacterial small subunit ribosomal RNA", at positions 9 to 873 of the family's 1533-position model. The record is from RNAcentral.